RNAcentral lists this ribosomal RNA (650 nucleotides) under Pseudomonas lini. RNAcentral's name for it is "bacterial SSU rRNA". It matches the Rfam family "Bacterial small subunit ribosomal RNA", at positions 139 to 784 of the family's 1533-position model. Lineage: Bacteria; Pseudomonadati; Pseudomonadota; Gammaproteobacteria; Pseudomonadales; Pseudomonadaceae. The record is from RNAcentral.
GGGGAUAACGCUCGGAAACAGACGCUAAUACCGCAUACGUCCUACGGGAGAAAGCAGGGGACCUUCGGGCCUUGCUCUAUCAUAUGAGCCUAUGUCAGAUUAUCUAUUUGGAGAGGUAAUGGCUCACCAGGGCGACUAUCCAUAACUGGUCUGAGAAGAUGAUCACUCACUCUGGAACUGAGACACGGUCCACACUCCUACGGGAGGCAGCUGUGGAGAAUAUUGCACAGUGGGAGAACCCCUGAUCCACCCGUGCCGCGUGUGUGAAAAAGGUCCUCAGAUUGUAAAGCUUUUUAUUUUGGGAAGAAGGGCAUUUACCUAAUACGUAUGUGUUUUGUUUUUACCGACAAAAUAAGCCCCGGCUAUCUCUGUGCCAACACCCGCGGUAAUACAGAGGGUGCAAGCGUUACUCAGAUUUACUGGGCGUAAAGCGCGCGUAUGUGUUGUGUUAAUUUAUAUGUGAAAUCCCGGGGCUCACCCUGAGAACUGCAUUCAACUGUGACGCUCUAGAGUAUGGUAGAGGGUGGUGGAAUUUCGUGUGUAGCGGAGAAGUGCGUAUAUAUAAGAGAGAACACCUGUGGCAAGCGAGACCACGUGCACUGAUACUGACUCUGAUGUGCGAGCGCGUGGAGAGCACACGAGAUUAGAUA